AGAGUUUGAUCAUGGCUCAGAUUGAACGCUGGCGGCAGGCCUAACACAUGCAAGUCGAACGGUAACAGGAAGCAGCUUGCUGUUUCGCUGACGAGUGGCGGACGGGUGAGUAAUGUCUGGGAAACUGCCUGAUGGAGGGGGAUAACUACUGGAAACGGUAGCUAAUACCGCAUAACGUCGCAAGACCAAAGAGGGGGACCUUCGGGCCUCUUGCCAUCGGAUGUGCCCAGAUGGGAUUAGCUAGUAGGUGGGGUAACGGCUCACCUAGGCGACGAUCCCUAGCUGGUCUGAGAGGAUGACCAGCCACACUGGAACUGAGACACGGUCCAGACUCCUACGGGAGGCAGCAGUGGGGAAUAUUGCACAAUGGGCGCAAGCCUGAUGCAGCCAUGCCGCGUGUAUGAAGAAGGCCUUCGGGUUGUAAAGUACUUUCAGCGGGGAGGAAGGGAGUAAAGUUAAUACCUUUGCUCAUUGACGUUACCCGCAGAAGAAGCACCGGCUAACUCCGUGCCAGCAGCCGCGGUAAUACGGAGGGUGCAAGCGUUAAUCGGAAUUACUGGGCGUAAAGCGCACGCAGGCGGUUUGUUAAGUCAGAUGUGAAAUCCCCGGGCUCAACCUGGGAACUGCAUCUGAUACUGGCAAGCUUGAGUCUCGUAGAGGGGGGUAGAAUUCCAGGUGUAGCGGUGAAAUGCGUAGAGAUCUGGAGGAAUACCGGUGGCGAAGGCGGCCCCCUGGACGAAGACUGACGCUCAGGUGCGAAAGCGUGGGGAGCAAACAGGAUUAGAUACCCUAGUAGUCCACGCCGUAAACGAUGUCGACUUGGAGGUUGUGCCCUUGAGGUGUGGCUUCCGGAGCUAACGCGUUAAGUCGACCGCCUGGGGAGUACGGCCGCAAGGUUAAAACUCAAAUGAAUUGACGGGGGCCCGCACAAGCGGUGGAGCAUGUGGUUUAAUUCGAUGCAACGCGAAGAACCUUACCUGGUCUUGACAUCCACGGAAGUUUUCAGAGAUGAGAAUGUGCCUUCGGGAACCGUGAGACAGGUGCUGCAUGGCCGUCGUCAGCUCGUGUUGUGAAAUGUUGGGUUAAGUCCCGCAACGAGCGCAACCCUUAUCCUUUGUUGCCAGCGGUCCGGCCGGGAACUCAAAGGAGACUGCCAGUGAGUAAACUGGAGGAAGGUGGGGAUGACGUCAAGUCAUCAUGGCCCUUACGACCAGGGCUACACACGUGCUACAAUGGCGCAUACAAAGAGAAGCGACCUCGCGAGAGCAAGCGGACCUCAUAAAGUGCGUCGUAGUCCGGAUUGGAGUCUGCAACUCGACUCCAUGAAGUCGGAAUCGCUAGUAAUCGUGGAUCAGAAUGCCACGGUGAAUACGUUCCCGGGCCUUGUACACACCGCCCGUCACACCAUGGGAGUGGGUUGCAAAAGAAGUAGGUAGCUUAACCUUCGGGAGGGCGCUUACCACUUUGUGAUUCAUGACUGGGGUGAAGUCGUAACAAGGUAACCGUAGGGGAACCUGCGGUUGGAUCACCU
This 1531-nucleotide ribosomal RNA is filed under the name Shigella flexneri K-671. Its description in RNAcentral is "bacterial SSU rRNA". It matches the Rfam family "Bacterial small subunit ribosomal RNA". The record is from RNAcentral. Lineage: Bacteria; Pseudomonadati; Pseudomonadota; Gammaproteobacteria; Enterobacterales; Enterobacteriaceae.